RNAcentral lists this ribosomal RNA (403 nucleotides) under uncultured bacterium. RNAcentral describes it as "bacterial SSU rRNA". It matches the Rfam family "Bacterial small subunit ribosomal RNA", at positions 952 to 1354 of the family's 1533-position model. The record is from RNAcentral.
CGAUUAAACGGGAAGAACCUUACCCAGGGCUUGACAUACACGAGAACGGGCCAGAAAUGGUCAACUCUUUGGACACUCGUGAACAGGUGGUGCAUGGUUGUCGUCAGCUCGUGUCGUGAGAUGUUGGGUUAAGUCCCGCAACGAGCGCAACCCUCGUUCUAUGUUGCCAGCGCGUUAUGGCGGGGACUCAUAGGAGACUGCCGGGGUCAACUCGGAGGAAGGUGGGGAUGACGUCAAAUCAUCAUGCCCCUUAUGUCUUGGGCUUCACGCAUGCUACAAUGGCCGGUACAAAGGGCUGCGAUAUCGUAAGGUGGAGCGAAUCCCAAAAAGCCGGUCUCAGUUCGGAUUGAGGUCUGCAACUCGACCUCAUGAAGUCGGAGUCGCUAGUAAUCGCAGAUCAGCA